UAGAUACGUCCGAUCAAUUUUAAGCCAGUGCUGCCAACGUCAAUCGGCAGCGUCCUUAAAAUGACCUUCGCUUCGACAAUCUUAUUCGUGGCCGAAUGCUGUAGCAAUACGGCUACGAUGAAUUUUUAUCAAACCUGAACUCCGAUAAAUACCGUAGAAGUCAAUAUUGUCGACGAGUUAACAGGAUAUCGGGUAUACGUUUUUGGUGACAUUUGACCUAGCAAUUGCUUAACUCGGAUGUGAAUCAUUGACGUCACUUUCUAUCGUGCAACGCCACUUUCUUGGAAACAGCAAGGACUUGUGGAACGGAACAAAGAGUAUAGUAGAGAGUGGAAGCGUAGUGGUGGAAGCUGACCGUGUAAGGUGAGCAGCGCCUCUACAGUCGCAGAAUCCUAACUAUUCUUCUCCGCCCUCUCUCACGCUAAUUCUUGGAUGUCACAUAACCUAUCCAGAAUAGCCUGGUCUUUUUAUACCUCUUCUAGGCGUGGUCUGAGAGAAACUUGAAAAGAGUGAUACAUUUUAAUAUAUUUUCUGUGUGAUACAAUUUUGUGAUUAAAAUGGGGUUGCGAUGUUUCGUGAAAUAUAGAAAGAAUAUAGAGUUAACGAAGAGCACUCUUUUUCCAACCGCCAAAAAAAACAAAAACCACUACUGCGUGAUCUAUGCACCGAGCUGAUGCCGUAAUUAGGAAGAGAGAGCACAGCUGGAGUUGGACCACGGUGUAAGAAUAAGAGGUGGUUCGACUGACCCGCGGUCACUGUGAUUAUUUUGUCUUUGUACGACGGAAAUCCACCAGGGGCCUCAUGCAUCGGUGAGGAUGAAACGCAUGAGAUCCCUGGCGGGUUUCCGUCGUACUAAGACAUAAUAAUCACAGAGCUCAACACAGGGAGUGUAGGGAAGUCGGACCACCUCUUAUUCUUACACCGUGAGCUGAACCUCUCUGUUGUACGACGAAAGGGCGGGGAGCAGCUGCUAGGCAGCGAGAGCAAUAAGGUUGAAAAACACAAUCGGGGAGGUAUACUUUUAUGAGGUUAUGUGUUUCAUCCGCCGAGCACCAAUUAGAAUGAGAGGUUCGGCUCCUGUUGUUGCCGUUUCUUUCUGAUUAUAUCUUGAACUCGGUGUACAGCCGCAAAAUCUAUCUGCCUGAGUACACGGCGUAUUUCAUAAAAGAAAGGAGUGCAAAGGCAUUGAAAGUACGCAAAAGCACCAUGAUGAAAUGAAAAAAAAAGUGACUUGCCAGCUGACAUCUCUUCUGAUGUAGGACAUUCAAUUUUGUACCAAAGUGACAUUAUCAACAAGAAAAUUGAAACGAAUAAUGACAAUUUAAUGUGGAACUGAAAUUACUCAAUUUGAGGGCAAGUUUGGUCCUCAGCUUUUUUGUUUUUUCUCUGCUUUCAGUCCAAAACUGUGAUAAUUGGCUGAAGAUUAUUCUUCGGCGAACACUGUGAGUAUGUCUCAGACACAAAAUCAAUGAUUAAAACAUUAAUUACAUUAUCUUAAAGUUACUAAUUCUGAAUCUUAAGCUUAUUAACAUAACUCUAAAUACUAAUCAGAAAUUUUAUCAUCAGUGAUGUAUUUUGAAUCGUUCAGUUACUUUUUUAUACCCGACAUAUGACAGUUUGAUUAAAUAUUAGUAGAAAAAUUCAAGUGCGAAUAUUGUAUACACUAACAAAUGUAAAACUGAAUGAGCGACUCCAAUGUGCAGAUGAACAGUAGUAAGUUGUCCUGGGAUACAGAAACUAUUUAACAAUAAAUACGAAAUAUGAACACGGACUUGUUCUGAAAUUUGAAUUAUUUAAUCAAAAUGUGUUCAUAUUCAGAGUCGCAGACAGGGUACCAUGAUUAACGGUAAAAGUGAAAAUGUAGAAAAUAAUAAGUUUUAGUUCGGGUUCAAUCUACAGGAUGGAGAUGAAAAAAUCCCUGAUGAAACGAUUGGUAAGCCAAUAAUAAAAUGAACAACAUUGGGCGAACAUAUGUCGUAUACACGUAAGAACCGGCACUUACUUUUGCUCAUUUUUCGGACCUGGAUGCUGCAAAGUAGCUCCAUUUAAUGGACAGGUAGAAGCAGGUGGAGUUGCUAUAGAAAAGAUAUAUACUGAAUUGGUGUGCUAAUAGUCAUAGUGGAGCCAUCCCAUAGUGGAUAAUGUAAGGGUAUAGAGUAAUCCUGAGUAACUCAAGUGACUGACUUCACCUCAUGUUUUCUGUGUACAAAUAUACUGCCCACUGAUAGAUGUAGGCAUACCCAAUAUUUCAUAAUUUGCGAUCUUGAUUUCUUUAGUGAUCU
Neodiprion virginianus is the source of this 2282-nucleotide long non-coding RNA. RefSeq lists it as uncharacterized. The record is from RefSeq and is a predicted model, not a curated record. Lineage: Eukaryota; Metazoa; Arthropoda; Insecta; Hymenoptera; Diprionidae. The transcript is spliced from 4 exons.